GGUAGGGUUUAGGGGUGGGGUCGGGUCGGGUAAAGGGGAUCAUUUUCAUUGCAUGAUAUAUAAACACCCACCAGUUUGAAAACACCCACAAAUACAGAAACGCCCACUUUUGUUCCGCAGAGACCUCAUACUCGCACUGCGCAACCAUUUCCACAACUGAAUGACAGCCAAGUUGUAUACAAUGUAUGGACAGAAAAGAUAGCAUCAAUUUUACCGUAUCAGUUCGAGCCCGAGUCCGACGAUGAAAUGUCUGAAGUGGUCAAUCAACCAGAAACUGAUUCGCAAUCACGACUGGAGUACGACAUUUCUAUAUGUUCCCAGUUCUGCAUCAAACUCUUGGCACACAAAGAAGGAACAGAAACCUUAUCUGGAUCGUCAGAGCAUCCAGAGCAGCCUGAACAAUAACUGCACAUGGCGAACUCAGACUGGCCCCUAGUGGUGCUUUCUGCUUCCUACAUGGAUACCCUUUCCAUAAGGAUCUGGAAGAUGACAAUUCCCUCAAACAUAAACUCAAUGGAGCUUGGAAGAGCAAGGGGAGCGAGGCUGUCUAAAGAAACUCCAGGAGCCUGUCACAGGAGUUUGCAGUCGUUGGUCAGGAUGCAUCCUCGAUUGAUGUGAAUGGAUAUGUGAAUGGAUAUUCAUUAGAUGCAACCAAACACCUUGGUUUUCAAACUCUUUUGGCUUCUGUGUGGUGAGCUUUUAAACCCAAUGUCUUAUGCUUCACACUUCCAUGCAUACAUGAAUGGAAUAUAAUUUAACCAGGGCAAAAGAUGGACUUUCGGACCCUUGAAACAAGUCUAUGAUAAAUUGUGAUUCACAAGAAUGUUUAAAAUGUACAGUUAAAAUGAAAUGUGUAGUACUGUUUAAUGUUUUAAAGAGUUACAGGUAAUGUGUGUACUGUUUUUGGAAAUGUGAAAUUGAUCAAUAUGUAAAUGCAUCCUGCAAUAUUGAUGACGCAUUGUGAUACAAUGUUUGAAAUGUUUUUUCUUUGAAAUAUGUGCAUGAAAUUGUGAGAUUGUAAUAUUUUUAAUGUUAUUUAAUAAAUGUGGUA
This is a long non-coding RNA of Ctenopharyngodon idella (grass carp), 1051 nucleotides long. RefSeq lists it as uncharacterized. Lineage: Eukaryota; Metazoa; Chordata; Actinopteri; Cypriniformes; Xenocyprididae. The transcript is spliced from 5 exons. The record is from RefSeq and is a predicted model, not a curated record.